Molecule: transfer RNA, 73 nt
Filed under: Trichonephila inaurata madagascariensis
Lineage: Eukaryota; Metazoa; Arthropoda; Arachnida; Araneae; Nephilidae
Rfam family: tRNA
About the family: Transfer RNA (tRNA) molecules are approximately 80 nucleotides in length. Their secondary structure includes four short double-helical elements and three loops (D, anti-codon, and T loops). Further hydrogen bonds mediate the characteristic L-shaped molecular structure. tRNAs have two regions of fundamental functional importance: the anti-codon, which is responsible for specific mRNA codon recognition, and the 3' end, to which the tRNAs corresponding amino acid is attached (by aminoacyl-tRNA synthetases). tRNAs cope with the degeneracy of the genetic code in two manners: having more than one tRNA (with a specific anti-codon) for a particular amino acid; and 'wobble' base-pairing, i.e. permitting non-standard base-pairing at the 3rd anti-codon position.
Source: Rfam by way of RNAcentral
GUCCCUGUAGCACAGUUGAUAGCGCGUUGGACUUCUAAUCCAAGGGUCGUGGGUUCGAAUCCUAUCUGGAAUG